GUGGGAGCUGUUGAAAACCCCGGAUCCUUGGAAAGCUGCGGCCUCAGCCUGGGAUCCCCCAGGGACUCCCCGGAACCGCCGCUUCCCCCAUGGAUUUGCCUGGGGACUCCAGCCCUUCUACACAGCCAAGCCUGUGCCGUCAGCCUCUAGCUCGAGCAUUAUGGGAAGCCAGGAGCCCGAAAAGACCGAGGCUGCAGCCUUUGGGGAGCCCUUCAUCCCUGGAAAAGGCCUCUCGGAGGGUCCUGGCCGUGGUGCUAGAAGAUGUCAUGGCUACAAACAGGGUUCCCCUGGCACACAAAGCAGACGUCCCCAGCCUACUGAAUCACAACCAUCAGCAGGAUUCUGUCUGCACUCAGUCACCCACUUUACCAUCCCACCAGGUCAAGUGGUCCUUGGAAGCCAGGCCUCCUGACCCACUGCAUUUGUGCAGAGAACCCUUGAGUCGUAUCCGCCAGUCCUCACCCACCUCGAGGAUGAGAUCAAGGAUGGCCCCCGGCCCAGAGGAGAGCCCUUCACAAAAGACAGACCAGGUCCCCCAGCCCACCCUGGUGGUGGUACUGAAAGACAUUGCCAGUGCCAGACAACCAGUUGAGGUAUAAGAAAGUACAGUGAAGACAUCUGGGUCCAGCUAGGGCAAGCUUGGGGCUGGGGGUGGAUUUCUGUAAAGGCCAAGACAACUGUUUUUGUUUGUUUGUUUGUUUGUUUUGUGGAGACAAGGUCUCAAUAUAUAGACUUGGGUGGCCUAGAACUUGCUAUGUAGACUAGGCUUUUCAAGAACUGGGAUAAAGGCAUGUGCCACUACCCCAAUGACAACAAAAUUUUAUGUGGUAGACACUAUUUAAAUAAAGGAAAUAAG
This 856-nucleotide long non-coding RNA is filed under the name Rattus norvegicus (Norway rat). Its description in RNAcentral is "long non-coding RNA NONRATT001223". The record is from RNAcentral. Lineage: Eukaryota; Metazoa; Chordata; Mammalia; Rodentia; Muridae.